Molecule: ribosomal RNA, 403 nt
Filed under: uncultured bacterium
Lineage: Bacteria
Description: partial 16S ribosomal RNA
Rfam family: Bacterial small subunit ribosomal RNA
Source: RNAcentral
GACGAACGCUGGCGGCGUGCCUAAUACAUGCAAGUCGAACGCAGUGGGGACGGGUGAGUAACACGUGGGUAACCUCCCAUCAGAGGGGAUAACACUUGGAAACAGGUGCUAAACCGAUACUGAUGGAUGGACCCGCGGUGCCUUAGCUAGUUGGUGAGGUAACGGCUCACCAAGGCCACGAUGGAUAGCCAACCUGAGCGGGUGUGGGGCCAAACUGGGACUAAGAGACGGCCCGGACUCCUACGGGAGGCAGCGGUAGGGAAACUUCGGCAAUGGACGAAAGGCGGACCGAGUAACGCCGCGUGAGUGAAGAAGGUUUUCGAAUCGUAAGACUCUGUGGUUAGAGAAGCGGUAUCUAACCAGAAAGCCACGGCUAACUACGUGCCAGCAGCCGCGGUAAUUC